AACGAACGCUGGCGGCAGGCUUAACACAUGCAAGUCGAACGCAUCCUUCGGGGUGAGUGGCAGACGGGUGAGUAACGCGUGGGAACGUGCCCUUCAGUUCGGGAUAACCCAGGGAAACUUGGGCUAAUACCGGAUACGUGCGAGAGCAGAAAGAUUUAUCGCUGAAGGAUCGGCCCGCGUCUGAUUAGCUAGUUGGUGGGGUAAUGGCCCACCAAGGCGACGAUCAGUAGCUGGUCUGAGAGGAUGAUCAGCUACAUUGGGACUGAGACACGGCCCAAAAUCCUACGGGAGGCCGCAGUGGGGAAUAAUGGACAAUGGGCGCAAGCCUGAUCCAGCCAUGCCGCGUGAGUGAUGAAGGCCUUAGGGUUGUAAAUCUCUUUCGUCCGGGACGAUAAUGACGGGACCGGAAGAAGAAGCCCCGGCUAACUUCGUGCCAGCCGCCGCCGUAA
RNAcentral lists this ribosomal RNA (449 nucleotides) under uncultured bacterium. RNAcentral's name for it is "partial 16S ribosomal RNA". It matches the Rfam family "Bacterial small subunit ribosomal RNA", at positions 29 to 523 of the family's 1533-position model. The record is from RNAcentral.